This 594-nucleotide ribosomal RNA is filed under the name Colletotrichum grossum. Its description in RNAcentral is "eukaryotic LSU rRNA". The stretch from base 231 to 384 matches the Rfam family "5.8S ribosomal RNA". The record is from RNAcentral. Lineage: Eukaryota; Fungi; Ascomycota; Sordariomycetes; Glomerellales; Glomerellaceae.
GGAAGUAAAAGUCGUAACAAGGUCUCCGUUGGUGAACCAGCGGAGGGAUCAUUACUGAGUUUACGCUCUACAACCCUUUGUGAACAUACCUACAACUGUUGCUUCGGCGGGUAGGGUCCCCGUGACCCUCCCGGCCUCCCGCCCCCCCCCGGGCGGGUCGGCGCCCGCCGGAGGAUAACCAAACUCUGAUUUAACGACGUUUCUUCUGAGUGGUACAAGCAAAUAAUCAAAACUUUUAACAACGGAUCUCUUGGUUCUGGCAUCGAUGAAGAACGCAGCGAAAUGCGAUAAGUAAUGUGAAUUGCAGAAUUCAGUGAAUCAUCGAAUCUUUGUACGCACAUUGCGCCCGCCAGCAUUCUGGCGGGCAUGCCUGUUCGAGCGUCAUUUCAACCCUCAAGCUCUGCUUGGUGUUGGGGCCCUACAGCUGAUGUAGGCCCUCUAAGGUAGUGGCGGACCCUCCCGGAGCCUCCUUUGCGUAGUAACUUUACGUCUCGCACUGGGAUCCGGAGGGACUCUUGCCGUAAAACCCCCCAAUUUUCCAAAGGUUGACCUCGGAUCAGGUAGGAAUACCCGCUGAACUUAAGCAUAUCAAUA